AAACCAACAGGGAUUGCCUUAGUAGCGGCGAGUGAAGCGGCAAAAGCUCAAAUUUGAAAUCUGCCUUACGGCCGAGUUGUAAUUUGUAGAUGGUAACUCUGUGGCAAGCCUUUGCUCAAGUUUUCUGGAAAGAAACAUCAUGGAGGGUGACAAUCCCGUGAGGCAUUGGUGCAGCUGCGUGUAGAGUGCUAUCAAAGAGUCGAGUUGUUUGGGAAUGCAGCUCAAAGUGGGUGGUAGACACCAUCUAAAGCUAAAUAUUGGCGAGAGACCGAUAGCGAACAAGUACUGUGAAGGAAAGAUGAAAAGCACUUUGAAAAGAGAGUGAAAAAGUACGUGAAAUUAUUGAUACUGAAGGGUAUAAAAUUGGACUCAAGGCCUAGGUUCGGUAGCCUCUCGGGGUUGCUUUGUCCUAGGCCCUAAACCAGCAUCAGUUUUGGCAGGUGGAUAAACAACAUGGAAUGUAGCUGCUUGCAGUGUUAUAGACUUGUUGCAUACACCUUGCCGGGACUGAGGACUGCCUUUGUAGGAUGCUGGGGUAACGAUUUUAUACCAC
RNAcentral lists this ribosomal RNA (553 nucleotides) under Wickerhamiella azyma. RNAcentral describes it as "eukaryotic LSU rRNA". It matches the Rfam family "Eukaryotic large subunit ribosomal RNA", at positions 62 to 648 of the family's 3401-position model. Lineage: Eukaryota; Fungi; Ascomycota; Dipodascomycetes; Dipodascales; Trichomonascaceae. The record is from RNAcentral.